This 500-nucleotide ribosomal RNA is filed under the name Stenotrophomonas sp. ZXM226. RNAcentral describes it as "bacterial SSU rRNA". It matches the Rfam family "Bacterial small subunit ribosomal RNA", at positions 99 to 595 of the family's 1533-position model. RNAcentral also lists the same sequence under 1 other name. Lineage: Bacteria; Pseudomonadati; Pseudomonadota; Gammaproteobacteria; Lysobacterales; Lysobacteraceae. The record is from RNAcentral.
CGGACGGGUGAGGAAUACAUCGGAAUCUACUUUUUCGUGGGGGAUAACGUAGGGAAACUUACGCUAAUACCGCAUACGACCUACGGGUGAAAGCAGGGGAUCUUCGGACCUUGCGCGAUUGAAUGAGCCGAUGUCGGAUUAGCUAGUUGGCGGGGUAAAGGCCCACCAAGGCGACGAUCCGUAGCUGGUCUGAGAGGAUGAUCAGCCACACUGGAACUGAGACACGGUCCAGACUCCUACGGGAGGCAGCAGUGGGGAAUAUUGGACAAUGGGCGCAAGCCUGAUCCAGCCAUACCGCGUGGGUGAAGAAGGCCUUCGGGUUGUAAAGCCCUUUUGUUGGGAAAGAAAUCCAGCUGGUUAAUACCCGGUUGGGAUGACGGUACCCAAAGAAUAAGCACCGGCUAACUUCGUGCCAGCAGCCGCGGUAAUACGAAGGGUGCAAGCGUUACUCGGAAUUACUGGGCGUAAAGCGUGCGUAGGUGGUCGUUUAAGUCCGUUGU